RNAcentral lists this ribosomal RNA (270 nucleotides) under uncultured archaeon. RNAcentral describes it as "partial 16S ribosomal RNA". It matches the Rfam family "Archaeal small subunit ribosomal RNA", at positions 477 to 747 of the family's 1478-position model. The record is from RNAcentral.
CAGCACCUCAAGUGGUCAGGAUGAUUAUUGGGCCUAAAGCAUCCGUAGCCGGCUCUGUAAGUUUUCGGUUAAAUCUGUAUGCUCAACAUACAGGCUGCCGGGAAUACUGCAGAGCUAGGGAGUGGGAGAGGUAGACGGUACUCGGUAGGAAGGGGUAAAAUCCUUUGAUCUAUUGAUGACCACCUGUGGCGAAGGCGGUCUACCAGAACACGUCCGACGGUGAAGGAUGAAAGCUGGGGGAGCAAACCGGAUUAGAUACCCGAGUAGUCC